GGAGAAGCGCGGGAGCGGUGAGGGCGCUGGUUCCUGUGAGGAGGGCGGAGGGGCGGGGGCUAGGGUGGCGCGGGCGGAAGAGCGUGCGGAGAAGAGCAGAAAAUCGGCCUGUGCUACCGCCGCCCGAGUUCUGUGUGCUUCUAUAGCCUCCAAGUUCGGUGGAUCGGAGCCAAACUGUACUCCAGGGCAGGAGAGCCUUCGUCUCUCCUCCGACCACCCCGUAGGAAGCUCUCGCUGAAACGUGGAAGGCUUAGCAGCCACCGAUACUUCAUGCCCCUGUCCAGAGGGCUUUCCCAAAGGCCCUGCGGCCUCGGGACUGCGCCGUCAGUUAGGAAAUUUAAGAAGGUAUACUGAACUGACAAGCCUGUGACUAGGGGGCGGCCCCACAUCUUCAGAAUGUGAAGCUGAGAAGGCAGACAGCUCCAGCCUGCUGUCCCUGGGGUAUACGGAAGCCCUGCACAGCGCGGCCAGAGGUAAUCCAGGAGACUCCCUUUUACCAGAAGGCUAAAUUGCCCCAGGAGAAUUCGCACUUCACCAACGUGAAAUGAAAAGGAAAAAAAAGUUGAAGGACCCUGUAUAAGUCGGUUGUGGGCUUGAGACACUCAGGAAGCAGGAGCUGUGUCAGAUCUUUGCGUGCUUUGUGUCCAAUUACACUCUGCCCAAGUCUAUUGCCCCUGAAGCAAAAAGAAGGGCUCUGAAAAGACCCAAGUAAUAGUGUUUGUGACCCAGUGUCAUUACAAACGGUCUAAGUAUCUACUAGCAGAUGCACUUGAAAUGUGUGCAUUUCCUAGUAAGUAAUGUGGAAGUUGUCACUGGGAUUUCAGUACGUCAUUAAGCUUGUGGGUUGGGGGCUGGGAGCCUGAAUCAGACUAGAGUCUAGAUACAAAUACUCGAUUUUUUUCGAAGGUUAUGAGAGCCAACUGAGCAGUGCUAGGCACACCCAUCUUAUCAGGCUCAAGUGACUUAGGUGCCCCACUCCCUACCCCUCCAGCAUUUGAGGAGAAUGAAGGAUUGCACUCACUUGUGUGAAGAUCUUCCAAAUAAUGUUUCAGGAGUCAACUUCAUUAACUGAAAUCUUUCUGAAAAGACUGCUUCUACCAGUUGUUUUGGGGAUUGAGUUUUUAUUUUCCUCCUAACUUGGCACCUUCUAUAUCCUCAGGAAAUUUCCAUAAAAUAAGCUUCCCCAGGGUUUCCAAAACAGUUCUGUGAGAUAACCGUGGAAUUCACCCUAGAUGUGUAGAUAAACCCAGAAGGGAGUGUAGCGCUCUUAGAGGGGACUCCAGACUGACGAGCACGUGAUGUGGGGAAUCUCAUCUCUGAACCUGUUUCAUUGGCUGCAAAAUGAAAAUUCCUAUGGUCAGAGGGUUUUUUUGAAGGAACUAAAGGUGUAUAAAUAUACAUGCAGUCAGUACAGAGCUUAAUUUUGUUUAGCAAUUUAUAGACAAGGCAGUGUGUAAAUAAGAAAUCAUAGUUCUGAAGAAAUUACAGUGAGUUUUUGCCUAUGCAGGAGUUAACUAAACUUAAUAGCAUCUAGCCAUUAGAUCCAAUUUUGAGUGUUUUUGGCAUGCUGUUAGGUCAAACGUGUAGGUUUAGAAGAGAUUUUCGAGGAGUUCCCAUUGUGGCUCAGAGGUAACAAACCCAACUAGUAUCCAUGAGGGUGUGGGUUCAAUCCCUGACCCUGAUCAGUGGGUUAAGGAUCUGUCAUUGCAGUGAACUGUGAUAUAAGUUGCAGACAUGGCUCAAAUCUGGUAUUGCUGUGGCUGUGGUGUAGCCAGCAGGUGCAGCUCCAUUUGACCCCCAGCCUGGGAUCCUCCAUAUGCUGCAGAUGCAGCCCUAAAAAGACCAAAACACACACACAGAUUUUGAUGGAAUUCCCAUUGUGGCUCAGUGAUUAACAAUUCCGACUAGGAACCAUGAGGUUGCGGGUUCAAUCCCUGGCCUUGCUCAUGGGCCAAGGAUCCGGCAUUGCUGCGAGCUAUGGUGUAGGUCACAGACAUGGCUGGGUCUGGUGUUCCUGUGGCUGUGGCAUAGACCGGCCACUACAGCUCUGAUUACAUCCCUUAGCCUGGGAACUUCCAUAUGCCAGUGGGUGUGGCCCUAAAAAGAAAAAAAAAAAGUUAGCAAAGAAAUACCUUUUGGUCCACUGCCUUACUGAUAUGUCUAGACUACUGUCAAGUAAGGCUCUGAAGUGGCCUGUGAGUUUCUGUGCAAGAGAAGGUGACCACUCAGGAGCAGUUGGCUUCUGCAUUCCUUUAAAAGCUAACCUUAGAGAAAAAGAAUCCUGAACAGGUCAUCAGGAUAAAUACAACUCAUGCUACCUCUAGGAGUAAGUGAGGAAAUGAACUUGUAAUGGAAAAUUUCCAGAGGCUACACCAUAGUACUCACGCUAUUCCACACCAUUUGCAUAUUCAUUCUGACUGGCACCAUGAAAAACUUUGUUGUGUGUGAUGUUAGAAGAAUCAUAUUGCCUUUUGGAAAAGGAUCUUUGUAAAAACCUAAAGUUUCAGAACACCAUAUGGAGCACAUUUUUCCAAUUAUGUUAAUCUUUGGGAUGUUAAUGUGUCCACCCUUAUGCAGAGGAAAGAGGUUAACUUAUGUUGGUAUGAACUGAUAAUAUACUACUUGCUACAUGAAGUUCUGAAGUUCUGGCCUCAGCUUAUAGUUGAUUCCAGUAACUACCCCAACGCACCCCUUUAGAUAAAAAAAGUGUAAAGGUUACAUUGCAUUCAUUCAAUCUACCCCUACUGUAUGCCAAGUAAAAGGCUGCAGUCUUGAAUAAGACAUGAUCUCAUUAAUAUAGUACAGCCUUUGCUCUCAGUAAAAAGGACCGUCUUCCAGAUGCUCAAGAAAAUAUGUAUGAACUCAUGUGGCAGUUGUAUUACUACACAUACUCUGAAGGAAAAGGCCAUCACUAUUGCUUGUAAAAAGCAAGGAGAAUUUUUUUUUGACAGUCCAUACUCUACAAUUCCAUAAAGAGGACUGGCUAGCCUGAUUUUUUGGGAGGAAAGUUUUGUCAAAUUGUUACUUGUAGGAAACACAAACAGAUGCAUUUUUGCAACUUGGUCUCCCAAAUUUUAACAUCCAGAAAAGCCAACAUAGUAGAUGGCUAUUCCUAUCUAUUCCUUUUUCAUUUGUUCAUCAUGUACAGAAGAAUACUGUCUUUACUGGUUUCUUUAUCAUGCACACUCAAUAUAUUAAGUUCACCCUUUCCUGAAACUCCCCAUAAAAGUUUAAUGGCUAUAUAAGUCUCUGUAUUAACAUAAUAUGUUAACAAAUCCCUCUUUUAGAUUUUAUUGUUAUAAAUAUUGCAGUGAAUAUUUAUAUAUGUUUGCUUAUAAAAUCACAUCUGUCCUGGAGAUAACAUUUCUCACAGUGGAAUUAUGAUACCACUAGGGUGUAAGAACAUUUUAUUACUUCUCUUUCCCAUACCCCAACUCCAAAGUAGGAAAUAGUAAUGUUGCUGCAUUCUAGCCUCGAGUAUAGUAUUCCUUAGUAGCUGAGAGAUGGUAUCUUUCCUAAGAAGUAACUCUUAAACCAUGGACACUCCUUUUUCAGAGAAAGUAGAGCCAUCCAGACAAUGAAUUCUGCAGGGGUAAUCAGAAACACUUUUUGCUCAUUUACUGCCUCCAAUAAUUCUUGCCUCACCUUAAAAUUCUUUAAGCCCUAUACUUCCCCUCUCCCCUCAAGUGGUGGCCUUGACCCACACACACCCCACCUGUAAUUUAGCCUAGUUCCUUUUCUCUACUUCCUAAACCUAAACAAACUACCACUCUGUCCUAAAAGAUGAACUUCACCAGAGUGGGGUGCCCGCACAUGAAGCUGCUAGCAGAAAAUUCAUGAAUGGAAGAGGUCAGAAUGAGGUUGGGGGAGCAAAGACUUAUUCUAAAAAUAUAACUCACUUCUUCCAAAAAGGAUUUGUUGGGUCUUGGAAUAAUAAAGCAAGAUAAAAAUUUAAAGCAAGAUUUAAAAUGAAGAUUCACCACUUAAAAGUGGUAAGUAAUUAUACCAGGAAGAUGUAAAUAGACCUUGCAAGCAACCACUAUUUAGACACUGAAUAUAAAGAAUCUGGAGUUCCCUUGUGGUAUAGCAGUCUAAGGACCCGGCGUGGUCACUUGCAGCAGCUCAGGUCACUGCUGUGAUAUGUAUUUGAGAUUCUCAGCUCAAGAACUUUGCCAAUGUAAACCCCUCUUAAUUCCUCCCAAAGUUCAUUUAAUCUCUUAGACACAAUACUGCAUGGCUGAUUUUCUUAGGUUCCUACUGAUACCCUAACAAGUUAGCACAAAUUGAAUGACUUAAAAGACAAAUUUAUUCUCUUCCAGUUCUACAAAGCAGAAGUCCUGAGACUUAUGGGGAUAAAAUCUUUUGUUGGUAGAGCUGGUUCCUUCUGGAGGUCCCAAAGCAGAAUUCCUUGUCUCUUCAGCUUCUUGGGACAUUCCUUAGCCUGGGGUCACAUUGCCUUCUCUUUUGUAAUCUUAUCUCCUUCUGCCUCAUCUUUAAGGACAAUCAUGAUUGCAUUUAGGGCUUACCCAGAUAAUCCAGGAUAAAUUCCCCAUCUCAAAAUCCUUAAUUUAUCAUCUCUGCAGAGUCCCUUUUGCCGUAGAAGGUAACAUUUACAGGUUCUAGAGAUAGAACUUUUUAUCUUUGCAGUCAUCAUUCAACCUACCACACUGAUCUUAUGCACAAAAUGCCAAUACUUCCAUGAAAAUUCAAAGUGACAAGCAGAAUUUACAAAUACCCAAGAAAUCAGAAAAUUUGGAAUAAAACUUCCAACUUUGUGAAGAAUUUGAUUACUUAAUGCAGCACUAUGGUCCUUUCCAACUCUAUGCAUGUAGCCUGGUUACUUCUUUUUUGUUUUGUAAUUUUUUCUUUUCUAGGGCUUCUCCUGAGGCAUAUAGAGGUUCCCAGGCUAGGGGUCUAAUCAGAGCUGUUGCCGCCGACCUACACCAGAGCCACAGCAACGCCGGAUCCCCAACCCACCAAGCAAGGCCACGGAUCGAACCCGCAAGCUCAACCUCAUGGUCCCUAGUCAGAUUCGUUAACCACUGAGCCACAACGGGAACUCCCCAGCCCAGUUACUUCUUAUAUAGCAUUUAAGUUUAUCUUCCCAAAGUGUCUCAUCUAUCUCUAUUAUGCUUUUUUGAACAUAGCUUUAUUGAUAUACAGUUCACAUACCAUACAAUCCACCUAUUUAAAAGUAUACAAUUAAAGGGAAUGUAAAUUGGUGCAACCACUGUGGAAAACAGUGUGGAGAUUCCUCAGAAAACUAAAGAUAGAUCUACCAUUUGAUCCAGCAAUCCCACUCCUGGGCAUCUAUGCAGAGAGAACCAUGACUGGAAAAGACACACAUACUCCAGUGUUCAUUGCAGCACUCUUUUCAAUAGCCAAGACAUGGGAACAACCUAAAUGUCCAUCGACAGAGGAAUGAAUAAAGGAGAUGUGGUACAUAUAUAUUACUCAGCCAAUAAAAGGAAAUAAAUAACCAUAUUUGCAGCAACAUGGAUGGACCUAGAAAUUAUCAAGCGAAGUGAAGUCAGUCAGACAAUGAGACACCAACAUCAAAUGCUAUCACUUACAUGUGAAAUCUAAAAAAAGGACACAAUGGACUUCUUUGAAGAACAGACUCAAAGACUUUGGAGGACUUAUGGUUUCCAAAUGAGACAGGUUGGGGGGUGGGGGGAUGCACUGAGGUUUUGGAAUGGAAAUACCGUAAAAUUUGUUUGUGAUGAUUGUUGUACACCUAUAAAUGUAGUAAAAUUCAUUACAUAAAAAA
This 5770-nucleotide long non-coding RNA is filed under the name Sus scrofa (pig). RNAcentral describes it as "lncRNA (ENSSSCG00025061544.1)". The record is from RNAcentral. Lineage: Eukaryota; Metazoa; Chordata; Mammalia; Artiodactyla; Suidae.